UACGACUACAUAUCAGGCAUAUCAAUAAGCGGAGGAAAAGAAACUAACUAGGAUUCCCCUAGUAACGGCGAGUGAAGCGGGAAGAGCUCAAAUUUGAAAUCUUAAAGGUUUUCCCCUUGACGAAUUGUCAGUUUAAAGAAGUGUUUUCUGUUGGAAUUUUCGGUAAAAGUUCUUUGGAAAUAGGACAGUCAUAAGAGGGUGAGAAUCCCGUAUUUGACCAUUAUUUCAGCUUUGUGAUACACUUUCAAAGAGUCGGAUUGUUUGGGAAUGCAGUCCAAAAUGGGUGGUAAAUUUCAUCUAAAGCUAAAUACUUGGCGAGAGACCGAUAGCGAACAAGUACCGUGAGGGAAAGAUGAAAAGAACUUUGAAAAGAGAGUUAAACAGUACGUGAAAUUGUCAAAAGGGAAGCGUUUGACACCAGUGUUGUUUUCUCGAAAAUCAAUUAAAAAUGGCUUGAUUUUGUGUUGUAUUGACCUUAAAAGCUUUCCUCACUUUUUUCAUGUCUUUUUUAAUGCACUUUUCGUUUAACAAGUCAACAUCAGUUUCUUUUGUUGUGAAAAAGGUCAUUGGAAGGUGGCUUUCUUUUCGGAGGAAGUGUUUAUAGCCUUUGACUCCUGCAAUCGGAGAGACUGAGGUCUGCAGCGUAGAUCCUUUGGAUUAGAUUCAUUUGUGCUAAGUUAUAGCUUUUUAUAGACAACAUGUUGACUAUAUUUAGUCUUGUAACUUACUCGCUUAUGUAAUUUUACCUACGCUUAGGAUGUUGACGCGCGUGUGUGCGUG
This 780-nucleotide ribosomal RNA is filed under the name uncultured Neocallimastigales. Its description in RNAcentral is "partial large subunit ribosomal RNA". It matches the Rfam family "Eukaryotic large subunit ribosomal RNA", at positions 24 to 624 of the family's 3401-position model. The record is from RNAcentral. Lineage: Eukaryota; Fungi; Neocallimastigomycota; Neocallimastigomycetes; Neocallimastigales.